ACACUCCUCCUUAAUG
RNAcentral lists this transfer RNA (16 nucleotides) under Prochilodus lineatus (curimbata). RNAcentral describes it as "partial tRNA-Thr". Lineage: Eukaryota; Metazoa; Chordata; Actinopteri; Characiformes; Prochilodontidae. The record is from RNAcentral.